UCGAGGGGCAGCGGUGGUGAAGGCUUGCCUUUACCAGCCGGCGACCGGCGCACGGGUGAGUAACACGUAUGCAACCUGCCUGCCACAGCCGGAUAAUCGGGAGAAAUUCCGUCUAAUACGGCAUAAUGCACCUAUGGGACAUCCUGUUGGUGCCAAAGGUUAAUUCCGGUGGCGGAUGGGCAUGCGUCGCAUUAGUUAGUUGGCGGUGUAACGGACCACCAAGACGACGAUGCGUAGGGGUUCUGAGAGGAAGGUCCCCCACACUGGUACUGAGACACGGACCAGACUCCUACGGGAGGCAGCAGUGAGGAAUAUUGGUCAAUGGGCGGGAGCCUGAACCAGCCAAGUCGCGUGAGGGAUGACGGCCCUAUGGGUUGUAAACCUCUUUUGCCGGGGAGCAAAGUGCCGCACGUGUGCGGUUUGGAGAGUACCCGGAGAAAAAGCAUCGGCUAACUCCGUGCCAGCAGCCGCGGUAAUACGGAGGAUGCGAGCGUUAUCCGGAUUUAUUGGGUUUAAAGGGUGCGUAGGCGGACGCUUAAGUCAGCGGUAAAAUUGCGGGGCUCAACCUCGUCGAGCCGUUGAAACUGGGUGCCUUGAGUGGGCGAGAAGUACGCGGAAUGCGUGGUGUAGCGGUGAAAUGCAUAGAUAUCACGCAGAACUCCGAUUGCGAAGGCAGCGUACCGGCGCCCAACUGACGCUGAAGCACGAAGGCGUGGGUAUCGAACAGGAUUAGAUACCCUGGUAGUCCACGCAGUAAACGAUGAAUACUAACUGUCCGGGCAGAAUGAUGCCUGGGUGGUACAGCGAAAGCGUUAAGUAUU
Molecule: ribosomal RNA, 821 nt
Filed under: uncultured bacterium
Lineage: Bacteria
Description: bacterial SSU rRNA
Rfam family: Bacterial small subunit ribosomal RNA
Source: RNAcentral